CCAGGAUCCCAGGCAAUCUGACUCCAGAACAUAGUCACUUAACUUAAUGCACUACUACACAUACAAGACCCCAGAUGACCACCAACAGCAGCUGGGAUUUGACCAUAACAUAGAAGAUGCGUGGUGAAUGCAGUUGCAAGUCAUCUGCCCAUGUUUCUUGCUGAAUUGUUGUGUUUUCAAUGGACCUGUCCCUGUCCCCUAGUCAGCAAGAGUCCAGAAGCCCUUCUGCACUCAUGGCAACCAAACAACUUCAGACACUGUCAAAUAUCCACUGCGGGGCAAGAACUGUUGUUGCUCAACCCACCAAGACAGAAAGGAUUU
This is a long non-coding RNA of Mustela erminea (ermine), 321 nucleotides long. RefSeq lists it as uncharacterized. The transcript is spliced from 3 exons. Lineage: Eukaryota; Metazoa; Chordata; Mammalia; Carnivora; Mustelidae. The record is from RefSeq and is a predicted model, not a curated record.